This 492-nucleotide ribosomal RNA is filed under the name uncultured bacterium. Its description in RNAcentral is "partial 16S ribosomal RNA". It matches the Rfam family "Bacterial small subunit ribosomal RNA", at positions 29 to 507 of the family's 1533-position model. The record is from RNAcentral.
AGUGAACGCUGGCGGUAGGCCUAACACAUGCAAGUCGAACGGCAGCACAGUAAGAGCUUGCUCUUACGGGUGGCGAGUGGCGGACGGGUGAGGAAUACAUCGGAAUCUACUUUUUCGUGGGGGAUAACGUAGGGAAAGUUACGCUAAUACCGCAUACGACGUACGGGUGAAAGCAGGGGAUCUUCGGACCUUGCGCGAUUGGAUGAGCCGAUGUCGGAUUAGCUAGUUGGGGGGGUAAUGGCCCACCCAGGGGACGAUCCGUAGCUGGUCUGAGAGGAUGAUCGCCGACACUGGAACGGAGCCACGGUCAAGACUCCUACGGGAGGCAGCAGUGUGGAACAUUGGACAAUGGGCGCAAGCCUGAUCCAGCCAUACCGCGUGGGUGAAGAAGGCGUUCGGGUUGUAAAGACCUUUUGUUGGGAAAGAAAAGCAGCAGGUUAAUACCCCGCUGUUCUGACGGUACCCAAAGAAUAAGCACCGGCUAACUUCGUG